RNAcentral lists this ribosomal RNA (498 nucleotides) under uncultured bacterium. Its description in RNAcentral is "partial 16S ribosomal RNA". It matches the Rfam family "Bacterial small subunit ribosomal RNA", at positions 30 to 523 of the family's 1533-position model. The record is from RNAcentral.
AUUGAACGCUGGCGGCAUGCCUUACACAUGCAAGUCGAACGGCAGCACGGGGCAACCUGGUGGCGAGUGGCGAACGGGUGAGUAAUGCAUCGGAACGUACCUUUCAGUGGGGGAUAACGUAGCGAAAGUUACGCUAAUACCGCAUAUUCCGUGAGCAGGAAAGCAGGGGCUCGCAAGACCUUUCGUUGAUUGCGCGGCCGAUGACAGAUUAGCUAGUUGGUGAGGUAAAGGCUCACCACGGCGACGAUCUGAAGCGGGUCUGAGAGGAUGAUCCGCCACACAGGAACUGAGACACGGUCCAGACUCGUACGGGAGGCAGCAGUGGGGAAUUUUGGACAAUGGGGGCAACCCUGAUCCGGCCAUGCCGCGUGAGUGAAGAAGGCCUUCGGGUUGUAAAGCUCUUUCGGCCGGGAAGAAAUCGCACGGGCUAAUACCCUGUGUGGAUGACGGUACCGGAAUAAGAAGCACCGGCUAACUACGUGCCAGCAGCCGCCGCCG